GGAAAGGUACUCAAGUGGUUAAGAGGGUGUCCUGCUAAGACACUAGGGGUGAAAGCCUGCGUGAGUUCGAACCUCACCCUUUCCG
This 85-nucleotide transfer RNA is filed under the name Caudoviricetes sp. RNAcentral describes it as "tRNA-Ser". It matches the Rfam family "tRNA". Rfam says of the family: Transfer RNA (tRNA) molecules are approximately 80 nucleotides in length. Their secondary structure includes four short double-helical elements and three loops (D, anti-codon, and T loops). Lineage: Duplodnaviria; Heunggongvirae; Uroviricota; Caudoviricetes. The record is from RNAcentral.